Molecule: long non-coding RNA, 789 nt
Filed under: Panax ginseng (ginseng)
Lineage: Eukaryota; Viridiplantae; Streptophyta; Magnoliopsida; Apiales; Araliaceae
Description: long non-coding RNA (PGIN_LNC017617)
Source: RNAcentral
AAGAAAAUUCAACAAAAGAAAUAGGUCUCUAAUUUCCUGACAGAGGUAGUAUAAACCUUUGAAUUUCUUCAUAGUGGGUCAAACAAAAUCCUGCUCGUCAUUUCUUGUUUAAAACUUAUGCCUGUUUUUCUUGUUCCUUCUCAUACUACUAAUAUGUGCUCUAUAAAUGAAACACUGAAUUCAUUAAUGAGCUUUUUAAUCCCUUGAUUCUACAGAACAAGAUUUCAACUCAAACUACUUACCUUGAAAAAAAGAAAAGAAAAAAAGAUUUCAAUUCAAAGUAGUAACAAAUAAAAAAAAUCCAGAAAAAAUAAAAUAAAAGGAAUAUACUUCAAGCAUUCGAGUACAUAAACCAUCCUAUACCCCCAAUUACAAUAUAUCUAAGCUCCUUCAAGGUUGAAUAAACUUCAACCAUAGUUUGCUUUAUCUAGUCAAUCACACCAAGAUGAGUCCACAAGAAAAGUGUAAUUUGGGCAUCACAGAAAAAUUACAUACACAUACAUGAACACAUAUACUCAACUGCGACACUUCAAGUUCAACUUAUGCGAAACUUCAAUUAAAAGGGAAAACAUAUUACAUACACAUACCUGGUCGCGAUUCUCAGUGGAGAGAAGAGAGAAACUAGGGCACGGUCGCGAUUCUCAAAUCAAAUCUUGGUCUCCUUCACUUUUCAAUGUUUUCACGCACGGUCGCGAUUCUCAGUGAUUUGGAGAGGAGAGAACGCAUUUGGAGUGUCUGCGAUUUGUUUUGGAGAGAAGAGAGAACGAGAAGCUGGGGCUUGUAAUUGGG